GCUCUGCAAGUCGAGCGGGGGAAGGUAGCUUGCUACUGGACCUAGCGGCGGACGGGUGAGUAAUGCUUAGGAAUCUGCCUAUUAGUGGGGGACAACAUCUCGAAAGGGAUGCUAAUACCGCAUACGUCCUACGGGAGAAAGCAGGGGAUCUUCGGACCUUGCGCUAAUAGAUGAGCCUAAGUCGGAUUAGCUAGUUGGUGGGGUAAAGGCCUACCAAGGCGACGAUCUGUAGCGGGUCUGAGAGGAUGAUCCGCCACACUGGGACUGAGACACGGCCCAGACUCCUACGGGAGGCAGCAGUGGGGAAUAUUGGACAAUGGGGGGAACCCUGAUCCAGCCAUGCCGCGUGUGUGAAGAAGGCCUUAUGGUUGUAAAGCACUUUAAGCGAGGAGGAGGCUACUUUAGUUAAUACCUAGAGAUAGUGGACGUUACUCGCAGAAUAAGCACCGGCUAACUCUGUGCCAGCAGCCGCGGUAAUACAGAGGGUGCGAGCGUUAAUCGGAUUUACUGGGCGUAAAGCGUGCGUAGGCGGCUUAUUAAGUCGGAUGUGAAAUCCCCGAGCUUAACUUGGGAAUUGCAUUCGAUACUGGUGAGCUAGAGUAUGGGAGAGGAUGGUAGAAUUCCAGGUGUAGCGGUGAAAUGCGUAGAGAUCUGGAGGAAUACCGAUGGCGAAGGCAGCCAUCUGGCCUAAUACUGACGCUGAGGUACGAAAGCAUGGGGAGCAAACAGGAUUAGAUACCCUGGUAGUCCAUGCCGUAAACGAUGUCUACUAGCCGUUGGGGCCUUUGAGGCUUUAGUGGCGCAGCUAACGCGAUAAGUAGACCGCCUGGGGAGUACGGUCGCAAGACUAAAACUCAAAUGAAUUGACGGGGGCCCGCACAAGCGGUGGAGCAUGUGGUUUAAUUCGAUGCAACGCGAAGAACCUUACCUGGCCUUGACAUACUAGNAACUUUCCAGANAUGGAUUGGUGCCUUCGGAAUCUAGAUACGGCUGCAUGGCUGUCGUCAGCUCGUGCGUGAGAUUGGGUUAAG
RNAcentral lists this ribosomal RNA (1031 nucleotides) under Acinetobacter baumannii. RNAcentral describes it as "bacterial SSU rRNA". It matches the Rfam family "Bacterial small subunit ribosomal RNA", at positions 53 to 1084 of the family's 1533-position model. The record is from RNAcentral. Lineage: Bacteria; Pseudomonadati; Pseudomonadota; Gammaproteobacteria; Moraxellales; Moraxellaceae.